This 300-nucleotide ribosomal RNA is filed under the name uncultured bacterium. Its description in RNAcentral is "bacterial SSU rRNA". It matches the Rfam family "Bacterial small subunit ribosomal RNA", at positions 399 to 691 of the family's 1533-position model. The record is from RNAcentral.
GCGUGCGGGAAGAAGGCCUUCGGGUUGUAAACCGCUUUUGUUGGGGACGAAACAGCUCGGGCUAAUACCCUGGGCGAAUGACGGUACCCAAAGAAUAAGCACCGGCUAACUACGUGCCAGCAGCCGCGGUAAUACGUAGGGUGCAAGCGUUAAUCGGAAUUACUGGGCGUAAAGCGUGCGCAGGCUGUUGCGUAAGACAGAUGUGAAAUCCCUGGGCUUAACCUAGGAAUUGCAUUUGUGACUGCGCGGCUAGAGUGCGGCAGAGGGGGAUGGAAUUCCGCGUGUAGCAGUGAAAUGCGU